UACGUAGGGGGCAAGCGUUGUCCGGAUUUAUUGGGCGUAAAGAGCUCGUAGGCGGCUUUGCAAGUCGGGUGUGAAAUCCCCAGGCUUAACCUGGGAACUGCAUUCGAGACUGCAUUGCUAGAGUAUGGGAGAGGGAAGUGGAAUUUCCGGUGUAGCGGUGAAAUGCGUAGAUAUCGGAAGGAACAUCAGUGGCGAAAGCGACUUCCUGGACCAAUACUGACGCUCAUGUGCGAAAGCGUGGGGAGCAAACAGG
Molecule: ribosomal RNA, 253 nt
Filed under: uncultured bacterium
Lineage: Bacteria
Description: partial 16S ribosomal RNA
Rfam family: Bacterial small subunit ribosomal RNA
Source: RNAcentral